AGAUUGAACGCUGGCGGCAUGCCUUACACAUGCAAGUCGAACGGCAGCACGGGAGCAAUCCUGGUGGCGAGUGGCGAACGGGUGAGUAAUAUAUCGGAACGUGCCCAGUCGUGGGGGAUAACGCAGCGAAAGCUGUGCUAAUACCGCAUACGAUCUAUGGAUGGAAAGCGGGGAUCG
RNAcentral lists this ribosomal RNA (177 nucleotides) under uncultured soil bacterium. Its description in RNAcentral is "partial 16S ribosomal RNA". It matches the Rfam family "Bacterial small subunit ribosomal RNA", at positions 26 to 215 of the family's 1533-position model. The record is from RNAcentral.